Pelobates cultripes (western spadefoot toad) is the source of this 385-nucleotide non-coding RNA. NCBI's taxonomy places the organism in Eukaryota, Metazoa, Chordata, Amphibia, Anura, Pelobatidae. The record is from the annotation of a GenBank genome assembly.
GGAGAGUUCCAGGGUAGAUGGAGGUGCACAUUUCUUUCCCGGGCGACUGUAGCUUUGGUUACACCACAGAGACCCAUAUAGGACAGGAAUUACUUUCCUACUAGCACAUGUAAGCAAAUACUCAGGAACAGGGAAGGCAUUUUUGAGUCACAGCGGCCAACUGAGAAGGGGGCAGGGCCAGAGAGGGCGUGUUUUGUCAUCACCAAUGACAAGUACGCCCCCUCCCAAAGUGAGCAUGUUGGUUCAAUACUCUUGAAGGGUGCAAUGUGUGUGUGUGUUUGUGUAUGUUUGUAUGUAUGUAUGUGAGAGGUGCAGUGUGUAUGUGUGUGAGUGGUGCAGUGUGUGAAGGCUGCAGUGUGUGUGAAAGUCGCAGUGUGUAUGAAUG